CACGUAGGGGGCGAGCGUUGUCCGGAUUUAUUGGGCGUAAAGAGCUCGUAGGCGGCUUUGUCAGUCGGGUGUGAAACCUCCAGGCUCAACCUGGAGCCGCCACCCGAUACUGCAAUAGCUAGAGUCCGGUAGGGGAGCAUGGAACUCCUGGUGUGAGCGGUGAAAUGCGCAGAUAUCAGGAGGAACACCGGUGGCGAAGGCGGUUCUCUGGGCAUUACCUGACGCUGAGGAGCGAAAGUGUGGGGAGCGAACAGG
Molecule: ribosomal RNA, 255 nt
Filed under: uncultured bacterium
Lineage: Bacteria
Description: partial 16S ribosomal RNA
Rfam family: Bacterial small subunit ribosomal RNA
Source: RNAcentral